GGUGCAUGAAACAUAGUGAACAAUCAUUGAGUUCUUUUCUAGAUCCAAUUUUUCACCACGUCAAUAUCCAACUUUGGUGUAGCAUUUGAGUUGAGAUCGUUGAUUUCGAACACACUUCUAUAUAUUGUGGAUGCGUCUUCGUGCUGGUAUUAUAUCACGGUCAAUAAAAUUUUAGUAUUUAGGUUGUUAACAGAUAUAAAUGUUGUUAAUUCGUUGUAUGUCAUGAAAAAUAUGAGAUAGAAGUUGAUCAAAUAUUUAAAGCUGUUUUAUUUAUUUUUAACACAUGGCUGAUGGCAAGUAUUUAAUGUUGGAACUAUUUUUUUGAACAAUAUGAAUAAUGUAUUCAUAUGUCAAAAAAUAAAUUUUAUUUGAAUGAAAAAUGAAGGUUUAAUGUGUGUGAUUUGAAAAACUUGUAUAAAGUAACAAAUACACACAUUAAAU
This 441-nucleotide long non-coding RNA is filed under the name Brassica napus (rape). RNAcentral describes it as "long non-coding RNA (BNAP_LNC005907)". Lineage: Eukaryota; Viridiplantae; Streptophyta; Magnoliopsida; Brassicales; Brassicaceae. The record is from RNAcentral.